This 405-nucleotide unclassified non-coding RNA is filed under the name soil metagenome. Its description in RNAcentral is "partial contains 5.8S ribosomal RNA, internal transcribed spacer 2, and large subunit ribosomal RNA". The stretch from base 2 to 123 matches the Rfam family "5.8S ribosomal RNA", at positions 35 to 154 of the family's 154-position model. The record is from RNAcentral.
AGAUGAAGAACGUAGCAAAAUGCGAUACUUGGUGUGAAUUGCAGAAUCCCGUGAACCAUCGAGUUUUUGAACGCAAGUUGCGCCCGAAGCCUUUUGGCCGGGGGCACGUCUGCCUGGGCGUCACGCAUCGCGUCGCCCGCCACAAUUCUCCGUAAAGGGAACGUGUGUUUUGGGGGCGGAUAUUGGUCUCCCGUGCUCAUGGCGUGGUUGGCCGAAAUAGGAGUCCUUUCGAUGGACGCACGAACUAGUGGUGGUCGUAAAAACCCUCGUCUUUUGUUUCGUGCUGUUGCUCGCAAGGUAAACUCUUUAAAAACCCCAAUGUGUCGUCUCUUGACGACGCUUCGACCGCGACCCCAGGUCAGGCGGGACUACCCGCUGAGUUUAAGCAUAUCAAUAAGCGGAGGA